This is an RNA transcript of Glycine soja, 2284 nucleotides long. It is a transcript of the gene named RNA polymerase II subunit 5-mediating protein homolog, with no coding region annotated. NCBI's taxonomy places the organism in Eukaryota, Viridiplantae, Streptophyta, Magnoliopsida, Fabales, Fabaceae. The record is from RefSeq and is a predicted model, not a curated record. The transcript is spliced from 9 exons.
UUGUAAUAAAUUAUGAGUUUAAGGACGGCUAUUUAGAAGACCAUUGUAGUUGAAUGAUGUACAAAGAUGGUCUUUCAAACUCGUCUUUGUAUUUUUAUGGCACUGAGUGAGGUGGUUCACUCUCUCUGCCUCUUUCUCUUCUCUGUUCCUAGAAACAAACCAUCAUCUUCUUAGAUCUAUACCAACGUCGAAGGAAAUAAUCUCUUGCCAAAAGCAAAACCCUAAACACUUCCUCCGAGUAUUUACCAGAACCAUAGUUUUUAAAAGCUGAGAGCGUCAAAGGCACAGCUGUCGCGUGGGAAGGUCCCAAUGUGUGCUAGAAAUUAAAAAGAUCAUUGACACCAUUGCCGAAGAAGGGGUCUGUGACCUCACUCGUGUCCCUCUUCCCAGUAGAGGAGGUGCAGAAGGUGGCCAAGCGCGUUGAAGACACCAUUGCCGACAAGCAGAGCGAAAUCAACCGCGUACGAGGUUUUGUCGUCGACAAAACAGCCUCAUCAACCUUGUCCACAAGCUCCUUGAACAGCUCUCCCACGACAUCAUGGUUCCGUUUGGGAAAGCAACAUUCUUCCCAGGUCGUUUGAUUCACACCAAUGAGUUCCUGGUUCUUUUGGGAGAAGGAUAUUAUGCUGAGAGAACUUCGAAGCAAACCGUUGAGAUUUUACAGCGAAGAGGGAAGUCCUUGGAUUCGCGGGUUGAUUCUCUUGAGGCCAAUAUCAAGGACCCAGAAGCAGAGGCUUCAUUUCUCAAUGCCACGGCUUCAUUUUUGGUUGCUAGGUUCUUUUGGGAGAAGGGUAUUAUGCUGAAUUUUUAAUGCUGAAAUGCUGAAUUUGUUCUAUGUUAAUUUUUCCAUUAAAAAUAUUGGGAAUUUUGAUUUUUUAUCUCAAACGUGUAGAGAGACUCGAGAGCCUGUGACCGUCAAUUUUUAUGUGUACAAUGGAAGCAAUUUUUCAUGUUAAUUCUGCAGUUCAAUUCAACUUCUAAUUUGUGAUGUCUAUCUUAUCAAUUAUUUUAUAUGCAUUAUUAUUAUUAUUAUUGGUUUGCUACCAUGGAAAUGACCUAUCAGGGAAGGGAACAGAGUGAAAUAGUAGAGAGAUGGCAGGUGUACUCCUUCACCAGAUGUGCCAAGUUUUACAGUAAUUUAUGGAUGAGUAGACAGCCAGUUUUUGCAUAUUGAGGUAGAGAACCACUUCAAGCAUGUUCAUUUGCUACUCCAAAUGCAUUUGUACCUACUUGGAAAAAUUCUGUAGACCCAAGAAGGAAGGAUUAUGGUAGGACUACCAUCUGGGGAGAACACGGAAAAGAUUUUGAGGAAUCUUUUGGCAAAAGAAAAGGUGGACAACGAAGUUGAGUUUAAGGAACUUGCAACUAUGACAGAAGGAUAUACUGGAAGUGAUCUAAAGAACUUGUGCACAAAUGCUACUUAUCGGCCUGUUAGAGAGCUAAUUCAUCAAGAGAGGCUAAAGAGUCUGUUGUAUGAGAAGGGCACUUGGUGUGGUGGGUCUUCCUAAUCCAUUGAAGAGAAAUUAUUAAAAUAUGAAGUCUGCUCUUAUCUAAAUCACCCUUAUUUAUCCAGAUUAAGAUAACCUUUAGUAGAAUAUAGGAAGCUGCAAAGUUCCUUCUUUUGGGGUAGAGUAAAUUCAUCAAUUAGGAGUUGGUGAGAGAAUGGAAGCCACGUAGCAGAACAAAUCAAAGGUGGUGUUGAUUGAUUCUUUGCAGUCAUGGGAGUUCCAUGUCAACCAAGCCUAUAAUCAGAAUACUCCUUGAAGAACCCAUAAUAAGAGAUAAUGCUAGCGACUUCAGUGACGAUGAGCAACAACACGAUGUUCAUGAACAUGGAGAACCAAACAAUCAAAGUGGGUCAUCUUCAUAUUUUGAAACUAUUAGUAGCCAACUUUCAGAAAAUCAAGAGUAGUCAAAUCCUUAUCAGAACAGAGGCAAUGCUAGUACAAAUAACCUUUAUGAAGGCUUGAUAUUUGAAUCAAAACAAGCAGUUGUGGAUGCCAUUCAACAAUUUCAUUUUGUCAAUUCAUUUAUUUUUCAUGUGGUAAAGAACAAGAGUGACAAGUAUGUUGUCAUGUGUAAUCAAUAUGGUAAUGGAUGUAACUGGAGGGUGAGAGUAUCGUUAAGAAAAAUACACAACAGGUGGGAGUUGAAGAAAAUAAAUGGUAUUCACACUCACACAACUUCUAUCAUAUCAAAAGAUCAUGUUAGGUUAGACUCAUCUGUAAUUGCUUAUAAUAUUUUUUAUUUAGUGAAAACAAAUCUUGGUCUAUCGAAAUCAAAA